UCAAAGGUUUUGUAGAUUGGAGAACACAGU
This 30-nucleotide non-coding RNA is filed under the name Mus musculus (house mouse). The record is from RNAcentral. Lineage: Eukaryota; Metazoa; Chordata; Mammalia; Rodentia; Muridae.